RNAcentral lists this transfer RNA (72 nucleotides) under candidate division SR1 bacterium Aalborg_AAW-1. RNAcentral describes it as "tRNA-Arg". It matches the Rfam family "tRNA". Rfam says of the family: Transfer RNA (tRNA) molecules are approximately 80 nucleotides in length. Their secondary structure includes four short double-helical elements and three loops (D, anti-codon, and T loops). Lineage: Bacteria; Candidatus Absconditibacteriota. The record is from RNAcentral.
GCUCUUGUAGUUUAAUGGAUAGAACGACCCUCUCCUAAGGGGUAAGUACAGGUUCGAUUCCUGUCAGGGGUA